CAUUUACAAAACACAUUUAUUGGACAGAUAAUAUUGUAAUUAUAUGACAAUUAUAACAUUAGUAUAUGUAUCAACUAUCACCAUAUCAAAUGUCUAUCAAAACUUUAAAUAAAUGAAUCAUUAAAAUACACAGCUGUUGUGACUAAAGUUGAGAUAAAACAUGAGUGACGUCACUAUAUCGCGUCAUUGAUGACUAAGUGAUGAUGUCUGUCUUUCCUCUUACCGACUAGAGGGAGUCGUUCCCGGGGUUAAAGGCUCUGGUUAAAGGCUGGUUAAAGUGUCUGGUUAAAGGCUCUGGUUAAAGUCUGGUUAAAGGCUCUGGUUAAAGUCUGGUUAAAGUCUGGUUAAAGUCUGGUUAAAGUCUGGUUAAAGGCUCUGGUUAAAGUCUGGUUAAAGUCUGGUUAAAGUCUCUGGUUAAAGUCUGGUUAAAGACUCUGGUUAAAGUCUGGUUAAAGUGUCUGGUUAAAGGCUCUGGUUAAAGUCUGGUUAAAG
RNAcentral lists this long non-coding RNA (492 nucleotides) under Salmo salar (Atlantic salmon). Its description in RNAcentral is "lncRNA (ENSSSAG00000102972.1)". The record is from RNAcentral. Lineage: Eukaryota; Metazoa; Chordata; Actinopteri; Salmoniformes; Salmonidae.